AGAGUUUGAUCCUGGCUCAGAACAAACGCUGGCGGCGUGCCUAACACAUGCAAGUCGGAUGUGCCGCAAGGUGCAUGGCAGACGGGUGAGUAACGCGUGGGGAAUCUACCUCUUUGUGGGGAAUAACGCUCCGAAAGGAGUGGUAAUACCGCAUGAGACCAAUGGCUGGAAUGUUGUUGGUGAAACCUGGGGACCGCAAGGCCUGGGGCAAGGAGAGGAUCCUGCGUCUGAUUAGCUAGUUGGCGGGGUAACGGCCCACCAAGGCGACGAUCAGUAGCCGGCCUGAGAGGGUGAUCGGCCACACUGGAACUGAGACACGGUCCAGACUCCUACGGGAGGCAGCAGUGGGGAAUUUUGCGCAAUGGGCGAAAGCCUGACGCAGCAACGCCGCGUGGGUGAUGAAGGUCUUCGGAUCGUAAAACCCUGUCGUCAGGGACGAAGGUCUGGGGGUUAAUAACCCUUAGGCUUGACGGUACCUGGAGAGGAAGCCCCGGCUAACUCUGUGCCAGCAGCCGCGGUAAUACAGAGGGGGCAAGCGUUAUUCGGAAUUAUUGGGCGUAAAGGGCGCGUAGGCGGUUUUUUAAGUCAGAUGUGUAAUCCCCGAGCUCAACCCAGGAAGUGCAUUGGAUACUGUCAGACUUGAAUACGGGAGAGGGUAGUGGAAUUCCUAGUGUAGGAGUGAAAUCCGUAGAUAUUAGGAGGAACACCGGUGGCGAAGGCGGCUACCUGGACCGAUAUUGACGCUGAGACGCGAAAGCGUGGGUAGCAAACAGGAUUAGAUACCCUGGUAGUCC
This 794-nucleotide ribosomal RNA is filed under the name uncultured bacterium. RNAcentral describes it as "bacterial SSU rRNA". It matches the Rfam family "Bacterial small subunit ribosomal RNA", at positions 8 to 796 of the family's 1533-position model. The record is from RNAcentral.